UACGUAGGGUGCAAGCGUUGUCCGGAAUUAUUGGGCGUAAAGAGCUCGUAGGCGGUCUGUCGCGUCGGCUGUGAAAACCCGAGGCUCAACCUCGGGCCUGCAGUCGAUACGGGCAAACUAGAGUACUGUAGGGGAGACUGGAAUUCCUGGUGUAGCGGUGAAAUGCGCAGAUAUCAGGAGGAACACCGGUGGCGAAGGCGGGUCUCUGGGCCGAAAUUGACGCUGAGGAGCGAAAGCGUGGGGAGCAAACAGG
RNAcentral lists this ribosomal RNA (253 nucleotides) under uncultured bacterium. RNAcentral's name for it is "partial 16S ribosomal RNA". It matches the Rfam family "Bacterial small subunit ribosomal RNA", at positions 524 to 776 of the family's 1533-position model. The record is from RNAcentral.